Non-coding RNA from Nicotiana attenuata, 66 nucleotides. Lineage: Eukaryota; Viridiplantae; Streptophyta; Magnoliopsida; Solanales; Solanaceae. The record is from Rfam.
UCAUCAAAGAUGUAGAGCGAUCGGCUGUUAACCGAUUGGUCGUAGGUUCGAAUCCUACUUGGGGAG